Molecule: small nucleolar RNA, 109 nt
Organism: Mastomys coucha (southern multimammate mouse)
Lineage: Eukaryota; Metazoa; Chordata; Mammalia; Rodentia; Muridae
Product: small nucleolar RNA SNORD23
Exons: 1
Source: RefSeq, a predicted model, not a curated record
UGCCCAGUGUUGAUAUCAUCCUGGUUCCUUGUGCAUUCUGAGGCUGGGGGUGACAACAUGACUUCCUUUGGGACAGGCUAGUUGGACCAUUGCUUAAGGCUUGAGGGCA